AGUGAGAUGGCAGAGAGGUUAAUGCGCUCCGCUGUAAACGGAGUCCGUGAAAACGGUCGAGAGUUCGAAUCUCUCUCUCACUA
Molecule: transfer RNA, 83 nt
Filed under: Oscarella lobularis
Lineage: Eukaryota; Metazoa; Porifera; Homoscleromorpha; Homosclerophorida; Oscarellidae
Also listed under: 5 other names
Description: tRNA-Tyr
Rfam family: tRNA
About the family: Transfer RNA (tRNA) molecules are approximately 80 nucleotides in length. Their secondary structure includes four short double-helical elements and three loops (D, anti-codon, and T loops).
Source: RNAcentral